UUAAAUGAGCUUGGUUGAGUGGCAGAACAUGUGCUUAGCAUGCAAAGGGGCCCAGGUUCAAUUCCUGCCAUUUCCACUUUUAAA
Molecule: transfer RNA, 84 nt
Filed under: Sphaerodactylus townsendi
Lineage: Eukaryota; Metazoa; Chordata; Lepidosauria; Squamata; Sphaerodactylidae
Description: tRNA-Ala
Source: RNAcentral